RNAcentral lists this ribosomal RNA (482 nucleotides) under Hymenoscyphus sp. aurim644. RNAcentral describes it as "eukaryotic LSU rRNA". The stretch from base 166 to 319 matches the Rfam family "5.8S ribosomal RNA". The record is from RNAcentral. Lineage: Eukaryota; Fungi; Ascomycota; Leotiomycetes; Helotiales; Helotiaceae.
UAAUAAGCGGCAGGAUUUUUGAAAUGGGUUCUAUUCCCAAACCGUGUAUACAUACCUUUGUUGCUUUGGCAGGCCGCCUUCUAGGCGUCGGCUCCGGCUGACUGCGCCUGCCAGAGGACCCAAAUUCUUCUGUUUAGUGAUGUCUGAGUACUAUAUAAUAGUUAAAACUUUCAACAACGGAUCUCUUGGUUCUGGCAUCGAUGAAGAACGCAGCGAAAUGCGAUAAGUAAUGUGAAUUGCAGAAUUCAGUGAAUCAUCGAAUCUUUGAACGCACAUUGCGCCCCUUGGUAUUCCGAGGGGCAUGCCUGUUCGAGCGUCAUUAUAACCACUCAAGCCUCGGCUUGGUCUUGGGGUUCGCGGUUUCGCGGCCCUUAAAAUCAGUGGCGGUGCCGUCUGGCUCUAAGCGUAGUAAUUCUCUCGCUAUAGGGUCCAGGUGACCACCUGCCAUAACCCCCCAUUCUUUACGGUUGACCUCGGAUCAG